GGUGUCGUGAAUGUGGGCUCGAGGCACUUUCCCGUGCGCACUUUGCGCUUUCUCCUACAAAAACAACAAAAACAAGAGAGAGAAACAUUGAGUGCAGCUUCAGGGUUGAAACCACGCUGUGACGGCUGAUGUAGUUCAGGUGGGUGUGUCCCUGAACGCAGCAGACUGCCCCUUGCCUCAGACUGCUUGGCACGACACCAGAUUUACACAAAUCAAGUUUCCAGCAGCUUCAGGAGGGUCAGUUGUGAGUUAUUCAACAGAAAUGUCUCACAUUCUUCUUCUUCUUCUUCUGACUUUUGAGACUGCGGCAUUAGAAGGUCACACAGAGAUAAAAGUGAGGUCUGGACAAGAUGUCACUCUUCACUGUCAGGAUCCCAGUGGUGUAAAUAUCACCCUGUUAGAGUGGAGCAUACCUGAGAUUAAGAGAGACGGAUACGUCUUCUUCUACCGAAACGGGCGCACAUCCGAAAACUACCAGCAUGUGCGUUUUAAAGGCCGAGUGGAGCUGACAGACCCGUCUAUGAAAAACGGAGAUGUUUCUGUGACUCUGAAGAAUGUCAACAUCAACGAUACAGGAAUAUAUGAGUGUCGGAUUAGAACCAGUGAUCUCAGCAGCGGUCAGAGAGUCCAGAGUGAGUCUAGGAAGUCCAUCAACCUCACAGUCAUAGACUCUGACAUCUGCUGUUGCUCAUUUUCUUGUGUGUGAUUAUACCAGCCGAGUGCAUUUUACAUGUUUGAAGUCCCCGGACUAACCUGGACUGUCACGGAUUUCAGAGUUUUGAAUGUGGUGGCGCAGUGAACCGAGAAAAAGGCAAAGAGCUGAUAGCCAGAGGCUCUGAGGCCGACACAGAUGUUGGACAUGGGAACUGUUUAAAC
This 876-nucleotide long non-coding RNA is filed under the name Oreochromis niloticus (Nile tilapia). Its description in RNAcentral is "lncRNA (ENSONIG00000035969.1)". Lineage: Eukaryota; Metazoa; Chordata; Actinopteri; Cichliformes; Cichlidae. The record is from RNAcentral.